Molecule: unclassified non-coding RNA, 343 nt
Filed under: soil metagenome
Description: partial contains 5.8S ribosomal RNA, internal transcribed spacer 2, and large subunit ribosomal RNA
Rfam family: 5.8S ribosomal RNA (bases 1-120)
Source: RNAcentral
GAUGAAGAACGCAGCGAAAUGCGAUAAGUAAUGCGAAUUGCAGAAUUCAGUGAGUCAUCGAAUCUUUGAACGCACAUUGCGCCCUUUGGUAUUCCGAAGGGCAUGCCUGUUCGAGCGUCAUUUCAACCCUCAAGCCCCCGGGCUUGGUGUUGGGGAUCGGCGAGCCUCCGCGCCCGCCGUCCCCUAAAUCUAGUGGCGGUCUCGCUGUAGCUUCCUCUGCGUAGUAGCACACCUCGCACUGGGAAACAGCGCGGCCACGCCGUUAAACCCCCAACUUCUGAACGUUUGACCUCGGAUCAGGUAGGAAUACCCGCUGAACUUAAGCAUAUCAAUAAACGGAGGA